This 452-nucleotide ribosomal RNA is filed under the name uncultured bacterium. Its description in RNAcentral is "bacterial SSU rRNA". It matches the Rfam family "Bacterial small subunit ribosomal RNA", at positions 340 to 786 of the family's 1533-position model. The record is from RNAcentral.
UACGGGAGGCAGCAGGGGGAAUAUUGCACAAUGGGCGCAAGCCUGAUGCAGCCAUGCCGCGUGUAUGAAAAAGGCCUUCGGGUUGUAAAGUACUUUUCAGUCGUGAGGAAGGUGUUAAGGUUAAUAACCUUAGCAAUUGACGUUAGCGACAGAAGAAGCACCGGCUAACUCCGUGCCAGCAGCCGCGGUAAUACGGAGGGUGCGAGCGUUAAUCGGAAUUACUGGGCGUAAAGGGCACGCAGGCGGUUAAUUAAGUUGGAUGUGAAAUCCCCGGGCUUAACCUGGGAAUGGCAUUCAAGACUGGUUAGCUAGAGUCUUGUAGAGGGGGUAGAAUUCCAUGUGUAGCGGUGAAAUGCGUAGAGAUGUGGAGGAUACCGGUGGCGAAGGCGGCCCCUGGACAAAGACUGACGCUCAUGUGCGAAAGCGUGGGGAGCAAACAGGGAUUAGAUACC